ACAUGAGGACUUGAGACUUGAGACGGACUGAUACGCAUGCUUGCCAUUGUGCUCAUUCGCACAUGCUUGUGAGGGUCGCUCCCUACAAGCCGGCACUCCGGAGUUGGCCAUCGCGAUACGUUCGCCGUGCGGGAUUGGGCGCCGAAGUGGAUUGCCGUGGGAAAGGCUCAUUCCUAGGGUGGGGAUGUUGACUACCACGGGGCCAUUAGGCACGGUAAAGCCAGACAGCCUUCGGGUGGGUCUUAUGCCAGACAGCCUUCGGGUGGGUCUUAUCAGAGUUGAACUUUAAACAGUUAAAGUGACAAGUGGACAUUGACUAGAGUAGUGAACAUUGACAUUAUUGCUAUUCAC
Molecule: long non-coding RNA, 351 nt
Filed under: Ananas comosus (pineapple)
Lineage: Eukaryota; Viridiplantae; Streptophyta; Magnoliopsida; Poales; Bromeliaceae
Description: long non-coding RNA (ACOM_LNC018007)
Source: RNAcentral